GGAGGAGUCGGAUAAUGGUUAUUCCAAAAGUUUGCUAAACUUUGACGGCGCAAGCUGUCUUGUGGGUUCGAGUCCCACCUCCUCCGCCA
RNAcentral lists this transfer RNA (89 nucleotides) under Candidatus Staskawiczbacteria bacterium. RNAcentral's name for it is "tRNA-Ser". It matches the Rfam family "tRNA". Rfam says of the family: Transfer RNA (tRNA) molecules are approximately 80 nucleotides in length. Their secondary structure includes four short double-helical elements and three loops (D, anti-codon, and T loops). The record is from RNAcentral. Lineage: Bacteria; Candidatus Staskawicziibacteriota.